GUGCUUUGCUUCUGUAGCCCACGUCCUAAAAUUGAAUGGUACAGAGAAGAUGAGUAUGGCCCUCACUCAAGGAUGAUUUGCAAAUUCACGAAAUAUUCCAUAUUUCU
This is a small nuclear RNA of Fukomys damarensis (Damara mole-rat), 107 nucleotides long. The record is from Ensembl. NCBI's taxonomy places the organism in Eukaryota, Metazoa, Chordata, Mammalia, Rodentia, Bathyergidae.